AAGGUGACGAUAUCUUACCACAGAAUCUUGAAUUACAAGUUCAUGAAAACGUCUAACUUUCUUUUACAGUAAAGUCCUUGGAAGCAGCUCUUUUGGUGGAUACAAGGCGAUCAUUAAAAUUCGAUAGAAUGAUCGCUUUCGUCAGGUUGAUUUUCUGUCUACUAGUGGCAUUUCCCCUCCAACAGGUAACCCUUGCCGGGCAAACUCAAGUUUCAGGACUUGCUGGAAAAACUGAAAACUCAAGGGAUGGCAGCACGCAGAAGAUUGAACCACUAGCCACUGCUUCUAAAAGGAUCUCUACUUUCAAUGGUGAGGAAAAUCUUCCAAACUACGGCGGUGUUUUUUCUGCGAACGAGAAGGCAAAUAUCUCUCCAGAAGAAGCGUUAAGUCCUAAGAAAUUUCUGAAAUAUUUCAACAGAAACUUCCAUCAAAUGCCCAAAGUUGCUGCAUUACCCACCUUAGAACCAAUAACAGUCACAACUUCUACAGCACCUACAACUCCUACAACUCCUGAGGGUCCUACACGACCGACAAUUCCCACGCUGCCACCAAUCUCUUCACUCCGUAAACGAUCCGUAGGUGCUGCAUUACCCACCUUAGAACCAAUAACAGUCACAACUUCUACAGCACCUACAACUCCUACAACUCCUGAGGGUCCUACACGACCGACAAUUCCCACGCUGCCACCAAUCUCUUCACUCCGUAAACGAUCCGUAGGUGCUGCAUUACCCACCUUAGAACCAAUAACAGUCACAACUCCUACAGCACCUACAACUCCUACAACUCCUGAGGGUCCUACACAACCGACGACUCCCACGUUGUCACCAAUUUCCUCACUCCGUGAAUAAUCCAUGGCUGCUGCACUGCUGCAGUAUCCACGUCCCUACAGGGCCCUGACUAUCGAUAUUCCCACGUCACGCACAGAUCCUAGAAUUCCUGCGUACCUAAUAUAGACGUUUCUGAGUUUUUGUACUGUAAAAAAAAACUAUGUCAAAUGAGUUAUACUUGCAAAUAAAGUAAUAUCAGUCACCAUUGAAAAAUAUGCGUUGAAAAUAUACCCGUCCUUUGAUGUAUAACAACUGUAUC
This 1086-nucleotide long non-coding RNA is filed under the name Bemisia tabaci. RNAcentral describes it as "lncRNA ENSSSA2NGG011891". The record is from RNAcentral. Lineage: Eukaryota; Metazoa; Arthropoda; Insecta; Hemiptera; Aleyrodidae.